This 74-nucleotide transfer RNA is filed under the name Cupriavidus sp. RNAcentral's name for it is "tRNA-Gly". It matches the Rfam family "tRNA". From Rfam's summary of the family: Transfer RNA (tRNA) molecules are approximately 80 nucleotides in length. Their secondary structure includes four short double-helical elements and three loops (D, anti-codon, and T loops). The record is from RNAcentral. RNAcentral also lists the same sequence under 1 other name. Lineage: Bacteria; Pseudomonadati; Pseudomonadota; Betaproteobacteria; Burkholderiales; Burkholderiaceae.
GCGGGUGUAGCUUAAUGGUAAAGCCGUUGCUUCCCAAGCAACUGACGUGGGUUCGAUUCCCAUCACCCGCUCCA